GGAGUUAUGAAAUGCAGGUUGGUUAAUACCCAACCUGUUUGACAAAGGCCCCAAAGGAAGCCACGGCUAACUCUGUGCCAGCAGCCGCGGUAAUACAGAGGUGGCAAGCGUUGUUCGGUAUUAUUGGGCGUAAAGAGCACGUAGGUGGUUUUGUAAGUCAGAUGUGAAAGCCUUCUGUUCAAAGGAAGAACGGCAUCUGAAACUGCAGAUCUUGAGUGUAGGAGGGGAGAGUGGAACU
This 238-nucleotide ribosomal RNA is filed under the name uncultured anaerobic ammonium-oxidizing bacterium. Its description in RNAcentral is "partial 16S ribosomal RNA". It matches the Rfam family "Bacterial small subunit ribosomal RNA", at positions 439 to 668 of the family's 1533-position model. The record is from RNAcentral.